Molecule: long non-coding RNA, 2085 nt
Filed under: Mytilus galloprovincialis (Mediterranean mussel)
Lineage: Eukaryota; Metazoa; Mollusca; Bivalvia; Mytilida; Mytilidae
Source: RNAcentral
AAAAACGGCGGAAGAAAAAGAAUAAUAACUAGUAUCUCAAUUGUUUGUAAAACAAUUGAAAGGUCUUUCCUGUAAAAGUGAUGUUUUCGUAUUGUACUUUGUACGACCUUUCGUUUGAUAUACGACAAGCACACCUUCUGAAACUUUUCGCUUUUUACACUUAAUGACCUCAUCCGUCUACAUUUUUGAGAUCGGAAUUAUGAUAUAUGGAACAGAGUAGAUGAGCUUUCGUUUGAUAUGCGACAACACCAUGUUCUUGAAAGUUUGAGUUUUGCACUUAAUAACCCUAUCCAACAAAUUUUUGGAGGUCGGGAAUUUGAUAUUUCAAAUGUACACAUCAUGACCUUUCAUUUGAUAUACAACAACCCUACCUUAAAAGAACAUUUAUUUUUUGCACUCAAUGACCCAUCCAACCCAUUUUUGGGAGACGUCAAUUUGAAAUUUGAAAUGUACGCUUUAUGUUCUUUCAUUUGAUAUGCGACAACCUUACCAUCUGAGAAAUUUGAAUGUUUGCACUAAAUGACCCCACCCGUCCCCCUGGGAUGAAAAGGGGGUUUAAAAUUUUCAUUUUUAAGUAGAGUACAUUUAGACCUUCAAUUUGAUAUAUCAGAUGACCCCAUUUGACAAAGUGCAAAAAAUGAUGCAAUAUCAACUAUAUAAAUAGAAGUUAUGAAACUUACAAAGUCAAUGCAAAACUUGAAAAUUUCAAAUUGAAUUUUUGGCGUUUUUUUCCAUGGAAUGUUUUUGGUAUUUGGUCAAACAUAUAACUAUAUUAACCUCUUCAAUUUCUAAACAUUUUAAGUGGUAAGCUGUUGUUGAUUCAGAAAUACAUGCCGCCGCUCGGAAAAUUUCAAACUGGAUUAUCUCUAAAACGACAAUAGAUAUCUCAAAUCUGUUAAAUGGUAAAUGAUCUAAGUUAAAGGACAACAUCAUAGAAAAAGAAUUUGGACAAUUUCAAAGUUCACCAAGGUCACAAUUAAUCAUCAAAUAUAUGAUGCAAUACCAAACUUCAGAACCGGAAGUCGUAGAGAUAUGGGACUAUCACCAUUCAACUCAGGACCACUUGACCUUUCAAAUAUCACAAGGUCAAGGUCAUAGUAUAAUGUGAAGGUCAAGGUGAAAUUUCAUCAUGACCUGACAUUGACCUCAAAUUGAAGGUCUUGAAUUACUGAUCAUCUUUGCAGUUUAUAGUAAGUUGAUAUCUGUUACCUUUAAAAAGAUAUACACAAAAUACUAUACUUUUAAUAAUCAUCCUGUCGUAACUUUUGAACAGACAGUCGGACACUUUUGAGCUCAGUGUAUAAAAUGUAGAGCUCAUAGAGAGGAACAUUUUAUACUCUGUAAGUAUGCAGCAAACUCUUAUCGUUUUCUUAAUAUGCAAGCUUGAAAUUGCAGCGUAAUUUUUUUUUGCACUUGGUGACCUUUGACCUUGGGUUGAAAUUAAAGGUCACAUGAACUUAAGAUUAUUGGUGUAGGUCCCAAGUCUUUACGACAUCCGGUUCUGGAGAUACAAUUUUUCAAAAAUUGUGUAAUAUUUUUCAAGGGAAAUAACUCCUUAUAAGGGUUAACAACAAAAUGAUUGUAUAUGUUCAUUAUCAUUGCCAUCUGGUCUUGUACAUGUUGCAGUUUUCAAAUCAAUUCUAUCUUGAAUACUUUUUGAGAAAAAUGUAAAAGAAAGAAAUUGCUUCAAGGGGACGUAACUCUCAUAGGGAAUAAUGAAAUCCUUAGCAGCCUCAUAUGGUAACACAUCAUGAUAAGAUCUAACUGUUGUCCAAAUAAGGUCAUGAUAUCUUCAAAAACAACGAGGGGGGGCCAUGUCGAAAAAAAACCAAUAAAAGGGAGAUAACUUCUAAAGGGGAUGAUGAAAUCCUACACAGCCUCAUCUGUUAAUACUUCAUGAUGAGGUCUACCGAUGGUCCAUAUUUGGUCUUGAUAACUCCAAUAGAAAGGAGGGGAGGCCAUGUCAAACAAAUGCUGGAUGAAAAAAAAAAAAAAAAAAAAAAAAAAAAAAAAAAAAAACAGGAGAAAAACAAUAAGGUCUUUCCUCGCGGAGAGGAAAGACCUUAAUAAUAAACAAACGAAAUA